CGUAGGUGCAAGCGUUGUCCGGAAUUAUUGGGCGUAAAGAGCUCGUAGGCGGUCUGUCGCGUCUGCUGUGAAACUCAGGGCUUAACCCUGAGCUUGCAGUGGGUACGGGCAGACUAGAGUGCGGUAGGGAGACUGGAAUUCCUGGUGUAGCGGUGAAAUGCGCAGAUAUCAGGAGGAACACCGGUGGCGAAGGCGGGUCUCUGGGCCGUAACUGACGCUGAGGAGCGAAAGCAUGGGAGCGAACAGGAUU
RNAcentral lists this ribosomal RNA (250 nucleotides) under uncultured bacterium. RNAcentral's name for it is "partial 16S ribosomal RNA". It matches the Rfam family "Bacterial small subunit ribosomal RNA", at positions 526 to 779 of the family's 1533-position model. The record is from RNAcentral.